Molecule: ribosomal RNA, 253 nt
Filed under: uncultured bacterium
Lineage: Bacteria
Description: partial 16S ribosomal RNA
Rfam family: Bacterial small subunit ribosomal RNA
Source: RNAcentral
UACGUAGGGGGCUAGCGUUGCUCGGAAUUACUGGGCGUAAAGCGCACGUAGGCGGCUUAUUAAGUCGGGGGUGAAAUCCUGGAGCUCAACUCCAGAACUGCCUUCGACACUGAUGAGCUUGAGUUCGGGAGAGGUGAGUGGAACUGCGAGUGUAGAGGUGAAAUUCGUAGAUAUUCGCAAGAACACCAGUGGCGAAGGCGGGUCUCUGGGCAAUAACUGACGCUGAGGAGCGAAAGCGUGGGGAGCGAACAGG